UAAAAGGACCAUGUGAAGGCACAUGUUUGGUUCCCUGAGGUUCAGGUCUGGGAUCAGGCCAUUUCGUCCAAUGGCCAUUUCGUCCAAUAGUUUAACUUUGUAAAUUUUAUUAUAAAAUUUGCAAUGGCAGCCCCCAACAUGUGUGAGGAAGGAAAUUUUCCCAAAUAGUUCUUAGAUUUUACAUGAAUAGGUAGGAACCCAUUGUUUUGACCACACUUGCCAAGAAAGGUGAAACUGGGGCGAUCUUUACUCGCCAUUAGAUUUCGCAACUUGCAGGUGAUUAAACUACAUGCUGCAAAAAUGUUUUGCUUCGGUAAAAUUCAGUUAUGAUUUUUAAAGAACCAACAAAUACCUGAAAAAUUAAAAAAUUGAUUGGUGCGUAUGAAAAAGGCUUUGGACGAAAUGACUUGCAUUCUCAGGUCUGACUAUGGCGUCUUCGUGACUUGUGCUGUCCACUGCAGAUAAUGCAUCUGGUUGAUUGUAGCAGAGAUGAAGAUGCAAAACUUGACUUCAAGCACUGAUGCAGACAUCGAGACUCUCCAGUGAUGUUACUUGAGAAAGUGUCUGACUUGUGCCAUGAUUUUAUUUAUUUAUUUUUGAAUAAAAUCUUGAAGCUUUGA
Long non-coding RNA from Neoarius graeffei (lesser salmon catfish), 620 nucleotides. RefSeq lists it as uncharacterized. Lineage: Eukaryota; Metazoa; Chordata; Actinopteri; Siluriformes; Ariidae. The transcript has 2 exons. The record is from RefSeq and is a predicted model, not a curated record.